Molecule: transfer RNA, 92 nt
Filed under: Chitinophagaceae bacterium
Lineage: Bacteria; Pseudomonadati; Bacteroidota; Chitinophagia; Chitinophagales; Chitinophagaceae
Description: tRNA-Asn
Rfam family: tRNA
About the family: Transfer RNA (tRNA) molecules are approximately 80 nucleotides in length. Their secondary structure includes four short double-helical elements and three loops (D, anti-codon, and T loops).
Source: RNAcentral
GGAUGAAUAGCUCAACGGCAGAGCGGGUGUUUGUUAGGCACCGGAUUAAAAGCCUGACUGCCGGUAGGCAGGUUCGAAUCUUUUUUCAUCCU